UUCCCCAGCGGUUCACCUGUGGAGCGUCUGUCUCGUAAACAGAAGGUCGGCGGUUCAAUCCCGCCUGGGGGCA
This is a non-coding RNA of Caenorhabditis remanei, 73 nucleotides long. The record is from Rfam. NCBI's taxonomy places the organism in Eukaryota, Metazoa, Nematoda, Chromadorea, Rhabditida, Rhabditidae.